CUCCUGUUCCUUAGCUAUGCUUGGAAUUUUUUUGUAGGACAUUAUUCUGUUCUCUUGGGAAGUUGGGAAGGGUUUUUAUGCUUGGCAUGGUGCUCAUAAACACUUCCUAGAAAUGCUGCUUUUCAACAGUUUUUAUCUGAAAGAAGAGAUGUUAAGAACCUAGUUUACAUAAUUCAAAUUUGGUGCUCUCAGGAUUGUUUCAGGUGUAAAAAUCCCCGAUUUCUCAGUGUGCCAUUGCUCUCUGGUGCUCUGAAUGCAUUUUGUAAUCAGUAAAUGUAUUAGUAACUGCAGAUGUUAAUCAAUCACUUUGAUAUCUAAAAGUAAGGCAAGUGGAAUGUGAAUAAUUUGUGUUGUGGUCAAGACUACUACAGUUUGGUGUCUCUGUUUGCAUUCAUCAGGGCUGUUGGACGUGAAUCAGAGGCUAGCAAUUACAAACCAGAACUAAUAACUAAAAAUCCCUGCUCUCUUUUUGAUGCAGUUGAGCUCAUUCCAGACCUCUUGGCCUUCUAGACCCAUGCCAUUGCAGUGAGGUGAGAACAGCUCGACAUGAGCCUUCUCAAAACCGUGCUGGAGCAGUAUCCCUCAACCUUGCUGUUCACAGGUGAUGAUCCGGAGCAAGCUGGGUGUUGCAGCACCAGAGCCCUGUGUCCUGAUCACUGUAAACCUGAGAUUCUGCCUUGGGAACCAGUUCUGUAAUGGCUAUGCUGCAUCAAAUGGUCACACUCAUCAGGAGAGUCACAGCCACUGCCGUCCCGGACCCACCUUUAUUUCCUCCAGUUCCCACUUCAUUUACCCCAAACAUUUCUUCAAGUUUGCCUGUUUCUGGAUUUAUGGAGAGGUGAGUAUAAAAUCAAUGACUGCAGUGAUGCUGCUGGAGGUACCAUGCACUUGUGGGUUGGUUGGCUGGUUCCAGGCAGAAGGGGUCACAUGUGAAUUCUUCAUCUUGUACCCUGAGACGUUACUAAGUGAUGAUUCUCGCGUAUCCAGCUGUCAACGUCCGUGA
Molecule: long non-coding RNA, 1003 nt
Filed under: Corvus moneduloides (New Caledonian crow)
Lineage: Eukaryota; Metazoa; Chordata; Aves; Passeriformes; Corvidae
Description: lncRNA (ENSCMUG00000018768.1)
Source: RNAcentral